This 253-nucleotide ribosomal RNA is filed under the name uncultured bacterium. Its description in RNAcentral is "partial 16S ribosomal RNA". It matches the Rfam family "Bacterial small subunit ribosomal RNA", at positions 524 to 776 of the family's 1533-position model. The record is from RNAcentral.
UACGUAGGCAGCGAGCGUUGUUCGGAGUUACUGGGCGUAAAGAGUGCGUAGGCGGUUUUCUAAGUUUGGUGUGAAAUCUCCCGGCUUAACUGGGAGGGUGCGCCGAAAACUGGAAGGCUUGAGUAUGGGAGAGGUAAGCGGAAUUCCUGGUGUAGCGGUGAAAUGCGUAGAUAUCAGGAGGAACACCAGUGGCGAAGGCGGCAUCCUGGCCAUGUCCUGACGCUCAGGGGCGAAAGCGUGGGGAGCAAACCGG